RNAcentral lists this ribosomal RNA (512 nucleotides) under uncultured bacterium. RNAcentral describes it as "bacterial SSU rRNA". It matches the Rfam family "Bacterial small subunit ribosomal RNA", at positions 8 to 518 of the family's 1533-position model. The record is from RNAcentral.
AGAGUUUGAUCAUGGCUCAGGAUGAACGCUGGCGGCGUGCCUAAUACAUGCAAGCGAACGAGGUAGCAAUACCGAGUGGCGAACGGGUGAGCAACACGUAGGUAACCUGCCCUUAAGCUUGGGAUACCCAGAGGAAACUUUGGCUAAUACCGGAUAACAACAGAGAAGGCAUCUCUUUGCUUGAAAGGCCCUUCAAGGGUCACUUAAGGAUGGACCUGCGGCGCAUUAGCUAGUUGGUGAGAUAACAGCCCACCAAGGCGAGGAUGCGUAGCCGAACUGAGAGGUUGAUCGGCCACAUUGGAACUGAGACACGGUCCAAACUCCUACGGGAGGCAGCAGUAAGGAGUUUUCGGCAAUGGGGGAAACCCUGACCGAGCAACGCCGCGUGAGCGAUGACGGCCCUAAUGGGUUGUAAAGCUCUGUUGUAAGCCAUGAAUGACAGCUUUAGGAAAUGAAAGCUAUUUGACGACAACUUACCAGAAAGCCACGGCUAACUACGUGCCAGCAGCCGC